UACGUAGGGUGCGAGCGUUGUCCGGAAUCAUUGGGCGUAAAGAGCGCGUAGGCGGCCCUGUAAGUCAGACGUGAAAUCCCUCGGCUUAACCGGGGAACUGCGUCUGAUACUGGAUGGCUUGAGUUUGGGAGAGGGAUGCGGAAUUCCAGGUGUAGCGGUGAAAUGCGUAGAUAUCUGGAGGAACACCGGUGGCGAAGGCGGCAUCCUGGACCAACACUGACGCUGAGUGAGCGAAAGCCAGGGGAGCAAACGGGG
RNAcentral lists this ribosomal RNA (255 nucleotides) under uncultured bacterium. RNAcentral's name for it is "partial 16S ribosomal RNA". It matches the Rfam family "Bacterial small subunit ribosomal RNA", at positions 524 to 777 of the family's 1533-position model. The record is from RNAcentral.